GAUCUUCGGGGCAGGGUGAGAUUCCUGACCGGCGGUGUGCAUCGGAGCCAGAUGUCCGGUGUGAGCCCGCGAGCCUUAUGGCACGAUCCGGUGAGAUUCCGGAGCCGACGGUAUAGUCCGGAUGAGAGAAGAGA
RNAcentral lists this non-coding RNA (134 nucleotides) under uncultured Anaerobutyricum sp. RNAcentral's name for it is "FMN riboswitch (RFN element)". It matches the Rfam family "FMN riboswitch aptamer (RFN element)". From Rfam's summary of the family: The RFN element is a highly conserved domain that is found frequently in the 5'-untranslated regions of prokaryotic mRNAs that encode for flavin mononucleotide (FMN) biosynthesis and transport proteins. This element is a metabolite-dependent riboswitch that directly binds FMN in the absence of proteins. Lineage: Bacteria; Bacillati; Bacillota; Clostridia; Lachnospirales; Lachnospiraceae. The record is from RNAcentral.